UACAGAGGUGGCAAGCGUUGUUCGGAAUUACUGGGCGUAAAGGGCGCGUAGGCGGCCCGCUAAGUCCCGCGUGAAAGCCCCCGGCUCAACUGGGGAACGGCGCGGGAAACUAUCGGGCUUGAGUUCGGGAGAGGGAAGCGGAAUUCCGGGUGUAGCGGUGAAAUGCGUAGAUAUCCGGAGGAACACCGGUGGCGAAGGCGGCUUCCUGGACCGACACUGACGCUGAGGCGCGAAAGCUAGGGGAGCAAACGGG
Molecule: ribosomal RNA, 253 nt
Filed under: uncultured bacterium
Lineage: Bacteria
Description: partial 16S ribosomal RNA
Rfam family: Bacterial small subunit ribosomal RNA
Source: RNAcentral